Daphnia carinata is the source of this 1381-nucleotide long non-coding RNA. RefSeq lists it as uncharacterized. The record is from RefSeq and is a predicted model, not a curated record. The transcript has 7 exons. NCBI's taxonomy places the organism in Eukaryota, Metazoa, Arthropoda, Branchiopoda, Diplostraca, Daphniidae.
AAUUUUUUUGCCUAUGCUAAACUUCAGACGAAGUCCGGCAGCGAAGGUGUGUUGUCACGUAUCUAAAACAUCUGAAGUUCUAGAAAAUGCUCCUGAGCAAUGUUGAUUUUUGUUUUGGUUCACUGCUGUUCCUGGAUGGACAAUGAACGAUCAUCUGAUUUGAUUGUUGAAGAAGCCAAAAAUAUUCUUUUUACAUAUAAUGCUGCCGUAGAACAAUUCAGGCAACGUACAGCCCCAAAGACAAAAUGAAUGCCAAUUUUGACAACGCUGAAUCUUAGAUGUGCCUGGUUGGCGAUAUUCCAUCACUUGUGCAUCGCUACAUGGCCAUCGUCAGGCUCAAGCAUCCAAUGAAUAUGGGAACAAAUUGCUGUGAUCUUCAACUUCAACAAUUUUACCUCUUUAGCACUAGUAGGUAAGGAAAAUUUAAUUUGCAUUUUGUAAUUUUUUUGCCAGUGUUUGGCUGAGUGAACUUGCAGUAUUAUAAAGGUAUUCAAGAUAACUGAAAUGGUAGCCCCUAAAUCAGAAGAAUUUUAUCUGACAUCUUUCUUGCGUGAACCUGUUAAGAAAAAGCCUUGUUAUAUCAAAGGGCACCUAAAGAAGAAAUUGGCUUCAUUAACGAUUCAAACUCAUUGAUUCUAACAACAGCCUGGUUGCAAACUUUUACCCAUUUCGUUGCAAUAAAUGUAUUUCUGAUCCAGUCUUCAAAACCCACAAAUGCCAAGGUACACAUAUACUUCUAAAGUGAGACUGUUAAUCUGAAAAAAAAAAAACUUGCAAACCAGCUUGUUCCCUUUAUAAAAAGAGUUGCUUUAGUCAGGUGUCAUAUUGCCUUCUAUUGGUUCCCUUUGUGGGAAAUGUAUGUUGUGUGUGAAUAUAUGCAACCCUAACAGUCUUGGAGAUCACUUUUUUUUGUCAAGAAAAUACUGGAAAUUGGUAUUGAGAAGGUCAUUAACAGAAAGUUUUUGUAUUUUAUCAGUUUAUUCCUACAUUUAACAUGGUUCUUUAGAAAUGCCAUGGAAUAAAAAAGCACUUGACAAAAAACAUUUUUAUUGUUCUCGUACCUGUAUUAGAUGGAAAUUACUUGUGCAAUGGUACCAACCCAUUCAUGAAAACAAUGUAUUCAACCAUGGAAUGUUGACCAGCUAUCUGCAGAGUGAAAAUCUACUUGACAGCAUUCAACCUCUUAAGUACAUUUUACAAAAGAUUCUGAGAAUGGCAAAAAUUAUGAACAAAUUUUGUAUUGGAGAAAUUCUAGGUAAAUGAAAGCCAUUUCACGAUACAGCUGAAUAGCUGUGAAACGCAACCAAUCGAGGAACUGAGUUUCUUGAACAACCAAACUUAUCUUGAAGAGCUGCAGAAAAAGAAUGGAACAUUACGCUGC